Camelus dromedarius (Arabian camel) is the source of this 5425-nucleotide long non-coding RNA. RefSeq lists it as uncharacterized. NCBI's taxonomy places the organism in Eukaryota, Metazoa, Chordata, Mammalia, Artiodactyla, Camelidae. The record is from RefSeq and is a predicted model, not a curated record. The transcript has 3 exons.
UUAAGUCCCUUUGAUGUCAUUGGAGAAGUCACUUAACAAUGUGCUGUUGGGUUCAAGGGGUUAAACAAAAGAAAAUUUCCCUCUGAGACUUCUCUCCCUCGUGGGAGAGUCUGCUUUUCUCUCUUACUAGCACAGGCUUUCUGGCUUGUAGAUUUAAGCACAUGUGUGAGCUCCAACGGGGCUCUGAAGUUUUGUCUGUUAAUGAGGCAAACAUUGGUGGUGUUCCCAAGGAGGAACCCUGAAAUGAUAUUAGACUGGAUCUAGGUGUGGGUUCUCCAGAGAUUCUGGGCAUUUUGGAACUGAGGGGGUGUUUUUCCUGAGGCCAGAACUGGGAAAGUGAAGUAGAUACUAACUGGGGUGGUAAGAAAGGCUGCCUUGAAAGUCCUGUGGGCGGGGCACUCUUAAAACCUAUUUUAAAAUAGGCUAAGCCUGCAUAUGGAUGUUCAUGUCCAUGGUGGUAGUGGUUAGAAGAGACUUACCACAGUCCUCACAGACCCAAAGGAAAAGAGGGUAGGACAUCGCUGGAUAGUCAUUCCUGACCUAAGGGACACGUGUGAAAUUAGAGGAAGAUUGCUUCUUCAUUUCUCCUGAAUUAGUACCCUGUCUCUUUAAGUGGGCCUGGGGAAUAGAAACAAUAUUGCAGGGACAACUAAACAGCAGUCCAAACAUAAUUCUAAGGGCUGUUAAGAAUUUGGGAUCCAACCUUGAAACUGAAUACCCCUUAGUAUUCAGGAUCUGGCAAGUGGUGUCAGAGUCGCUGGAGUCUUUGGUUGAGAAUGAGACAUGAUAUUCAUUGUUAGGCAGGUGGUCCCAAUGGAUGGCAUUCCCCAAUAGGAAGGACACUAGAUGUACAAUGUCAGUGAUACAUCUACAUUCUAAACUGGAAAAGUCUUUUUUGGUUAUUUGCUUCUUUGACCUCUUAGCUCUCCCGUCUGUUUUAGCAUCACCAGAGUGCCUCCAGUUAGCCUGGGCUGUUUGUCCCCAAAUCGAAAACCAUACCUUCUGUGCUGCUAGACUAGGUGGUAGGGAGUGCUAGAUUCUAGUGGGAAACUGGGAUUUUGGAUUUGUAAUUCUCCUAAGUUUUAUUCCCUCCUCCAAUUGUGAGAUCAUCUGAGGAGGCCCAAAACCUUUGGAAUCCAGAUUUGGAGCUGGGAAGAGGGAGUUUGCAGAGAUACCAGCCCCGGGGGACACUGCAUUAUGGUCAGGAAGUGGGGGAGGGACAUGAGGCACGUGACAGUGGUGCUGAGCAAGGACUCUUCCCCAGCCUCAGGGUGCUAGCUGGGGCCUUUGCUGUCACUCAUAUAAACAGGGCCUGGGGUGGCGGCCUGGGAGCAGUGUGCUGACAGACAAAGGGCCAGGUGUUCCCAUGCUGAGCAAGGAUACAUACAUACCCUUGAAAAGGUCCGUUUCUAGGUUGAUGGUAACUGGAAGAGCUUUUGCGGUAACUUUGAAGAAGCUAAAGAAUAAGUUAGAAAACAUAUAAAUAGAAAUUUCUUGUCCUUUGUGAUAAGGGAAAAAAGGAAUUAAUGGCUUCUUUUUGCUGGGCCCAUGGGCUUGGGUUUGUGGGCCUCCUCCUCUUAGCUAUUUCCCCUUUCAUCAUUUUGUGGCAUUCCUCUUUUCAGCAUUACUUGCCUUUUCACUUCCCUUGGGUCUGUUGAUCCUCACCAUAAAGGAAGCCAAGAAGAAUGACGAAACUAGAGCAAGCAAAGGAGAAACCAAGAAAGUUAUAGAGAAUAAAAGUGUUAGGGAAGUUAGCCUGCAGCAACAGAGAGAGGAGAAAAAUAAGGGGGAAAAAAGUAGAAGAAACACUGAUUUAGGUAGAGGUUGUACAAAAGGAAAGAUAAAUGAAUAUUGAGGAAAGGGCAAAGGCUAAGGGGAGGGGCGACGGCAAUGGAAGAAACACACAAGAACCCACAGAACAGGAAACAGGAAACAUCCCUUCCUGUGCUUCAACGUUCCUGCUUUCCUCCCUCCUUUCCUUCCUGUAAAUGCGGAGUGCUGACUACAUGCCAGGCACUGUCUAGGUACUGGUGAUAAAAGAUGAACAUGAGUCCUUCUGUGCUCUAGAAGAGCUCGUAUGUAGUGGGGAGAUAAUGUCAUGGUUGCCUGUAGGGCAUGGGGUGAGAAGUGGGGUUCCGAGUACUCCCUUUUCUGUGUUUAAGAAAAGGGAGGACCCCAGAAUGGGUCCUGAAGUCUUCUUGUAAUUGCUCUUGGGCUGAGGGUGGAUGACAAGCUGUCGUGUAUGGUCUAAGGAUACAUGGCUUCCCUCCUUCCCCAGGGUGGCAACCCGGGUUAUGGUGUUACAGUCACUAUUCUGAAGUGAGUCAGGGAUAGGACGCUUUCUGUGUCCUGGCACCAUACCCGCAGGCACGGAGUGAUGGGCCGUAUUCUCUCCUCUCCUCUCCUUGAAGUACCUCUGUGCUGUUGUGAGUGGUUCAGUUGCGACUCACCUCAGGCUCUCGCUUGGCUGUCAUGCUGUGUGAAAAAUGGAGGAGAAGGGGGUUGUGAGAAAUUUGGAAAAUGCAAAGGAAGAAUGAAGAAGCAUCCUUAUCCCCAAAUGACCAAAAAGAAGCUGAAGAAAAACAUUUUGGUAUCUGAGUUAUGGGUCCCUAAAGUCCAGAGAGCCCAAGGACCCCUCUUGUAGAAGAGGCUACCACUAUGUGAAGGGUGGGUUAAGGGUCUUUGCUGAAGCUGGGGGGCCUUCUGAGGGAGUCAAGGUUUGCUGUAUGUGUAGGUUUGGUUUUACAAAGCAGACAUUGAAAAGUAGCUGUGGGUUUCCAGAGUUUGAGGAGGGUAGAUUGGUAGGUUAUGAUGGGAUCCGGGAACCCUUUCCUACGUGGUCUGUUUUUAAGGUAUUCAUUUCUGCUGAAGAUAAUUGGCAAGGGCCUUAGGGUUGCCUGGCCAGAGUCCCAAAGACCCUGGAACUAAGGCACUGGCUGGGUAGGCACUCUGAUACAUACAUACAAAGCUGGGUGAGGGAAAUUGGCUCUAUUACUGCCAUUUUACCAAGCGUUUUGAAGAGUGCUUUUUGUACUAAGGUAGCACAAUGGUGGACGGUGCUCUCAUUUGGAUAGAUAGAUUCGUUUACUAAAACAACAGCACCACCAUAGUUUUCUCAUUUGCUGUGGACCGUUGAAAUCUUUCAAAAACCUGCCACAGUCCUUGGACAGCAUUUAAUUUCCACUGAUCCAGCCCAGAAACAAUGGCAUGAACUUCCCUAUCUUCGUGUCUUUGAGCAGAUGGCCAAAGGAUGGUUCUGGGUCAUGAAGAAUAUGACCAGAGACUUUGUGGAGAUUCUGAAAUCUCUGGCUUACGGGUUGAUUAGGGUUUCUCACCCCACCUUUCCCUAUUGGAGGUGUUUCUCUAUGGCCAUUUAUCAGGUUUCCAAGCAUCUUAAUCUUUAGGUGAAGUUUGGAUAUUUGUUUUCUGGCUCUCAGAUUCCCAUUUUGGUGUAUGUUCUGCCUUUUUGAAAAUGUUUUUGGGUCCUCUCCCAGCUAACUUUCAGCUCUUUGGGGAAAGAGCCAAAUAAUUCAUAACUAUGGUGAAAACAGAACCAAAACCAAACCUGUGUGUCUUGCAACUUCUGGCACCUGCUUUGGUUUUGUUUUGUGUUCCUUUGAACGGUGUUUGUUGUCUGGACCCCAAAGCCUGCAAUUCUAAUGACAUCCUUUCUGGUAUCCCUGCCCGGGAAUGAUGCUCAGGGAGUGUGUCCACACAGCUCACUGGGCUCUGGUCUGUAGCCUCUCAUAGUUCCCUCUUUGUUGAAAGGGCUUGCCAAUGAGUCUUCCCUCGGUAGGAUCUUGAUUCCCAAACUGAGCACAUUACAUGUAAAGAAGUUUUGAUCAAGGAACAAAAAGCCCAUCUUCUAGUCCUGGCACUGCAUGCAACUAUUAGCUGUGUGAACUUUGGCAAGUCUCUGAACUUCUUUGGGUUGUGGUUUCCUUGUAGGUAAAACUGGGGUAUUAAUACCUACCUCACAGGGUUGUUGUGAGGAUUAAACGUGCUCUGUAAUCUGUCAUAUAAAUGUUGGCAAAUUUUUGUUAGGAUUUAAGAGCUAUUUUAAAAUUGUCCCUGACCACAUGGCAGAUAGGCUGAUUUCUGCUCUCAGAGCAAUGGUUUUCACAGUCAUGUACUGCAUGGUUAAUUCACUGGAGCAAAAUUUUGUGUUUCUCUGGAAAUAUUUUUGUGUGGAGAGGGCCCAUAAGUUUCAUCAGUUUCCUAAAGAGAGUUCAUUGCACUAAAAAGUUAAGAAUCAGUGCUUCAUAACUGGAAAGUUGGAUUCAGUAACAGAAGUAAAUGUAUUGCUUACAGAAGGUCCCUCUUAACACAUCUGCAGUAGCAGUUGCAAUGUUAGAUAGUGAAAUUCUUAAUGUGUCCUGAUGACCGUACAGGACAUUUGAAAUCGGGAUUCAAAAUCUUGGACACAUGGUCAUGGCAGUCAUUUGAUUAUUCAGUUGCCUAAUAUGGUGGCAAUGGUGGAUGUGGAAUUAACUACAUUGCCCUACAGUAGUCACCUUACCUCAUGGGAUCUGUUACCUCCUUUGUAAAGUAAUGGAUUUGACCUUGAAGAUUUCCAAAGUUCCUAGGUUGAAUUCUCUAGGAAAGAGAGAUCAAAACUGGACUUGGAUGGAGACCUGCUGUGGCAGAAAUGAAUCAAGUUUUGUGGAGGAGGGAAAAGAGGGAAUGUCGGAGCAAGGAGGCGGGGCAGAGCAUCCAAGGAGCUCAUUCUGGAUAAAGGUGGGAAAAGCAGGCCUGCAGAGGUGAAGGGCCUGGUAAUUGGGGCAGGAAGACAGCUGGUGGGCUACUUAAGAUCCAAGACUCUGAUGGACCAGAGGCUCAACCUCCACCUUUCACCGUGGGACGGGCUUGCCAGAACCCAGGCUCCCUGAGCAAACACAUCGUCUUCCUCGCACACACAGAACUUCCGGUUCUCAGGGGAACAAAUGCCUGGAGUCUUCCCACUUUCUACGUCAGGAGGUUUGCUUACUUCUGGAAAAUGCUGCUUUUCAGGUGCCUUAAGACGCAGGAUUCAAAACCUUACGAGUGAGAAGGGCUAGAAUAUUUUAGAGAGGAAGAAAGAAAGAGACAAGAAGCAUGAAACUGAAGAAACUAAGAACUAGGUCCCAUCCGGGAGGUUUUUGUGUAGAUGAUGAAUGGACACCAACUAGAGACACUGUGCACGAGGCCCCCAUGAUGUGAUGUUUGGCUUCUCCUGAUGGGGAGGGCAGAUGUGCUUUUGUGGUCAAGCACAGGAUGUUUGGGUUCCGUCGUGUGAGUUUGCUUUGAAAUUGUGCGUUUUCACUUAAGAAACAAGUGGCACACCCAGCACCAAGUGUGUUAAUGUCUUAUUGAACCUUCCUGAGGUGUGUGCUGUCUCACAACGUAUAUACUUCAACGUAAUCGCAGGGCAUUAUAAUAAAGUGUA